Molecule: ribosomal RNA, 211 nt
Filed under: Tenacibaculum sp. M341
Lineage: Bacteria; Pseudomonadati; Bacteroidota; Flavobacteriia; Flavobacteriales; Flavobacteriaceae
Description: partial 16S ribosomal RNA
Rfam family: Bacterial small subunit ribosomal RNA
Source: RNAcentral
UAUACAAUGAAGAGUUUGAUCCUGGCUCAGGAUGAACGCUAGCGGCAGGCUUAACACAUGCAAGUCGAGGGGUAACAUUGUAGCUUGCUGCAGAUGACGACCGGCGAACGGGUGCGUAACGCGUAUAGAAUCUGCCUUGUACAGGAGGAUAGCCUUUAGAAAUGAAGAUUAAUACUCCAUAAUGUUGGUGAGUGGCAUCGCUUACUAAUUA